This 496-nucleotide ribosomal RNA is filed under the name uncultured bacterium. Its description in RNAcentral is "partial 16S ribosomal RNA". It matches the Rfam family "Bacterial small subunit ribosomal RNA", at positions 28 to 506 of the family's 1533-position model. The record is from RNAcentral.
GAUGAACGCUGGCGGCGUGCCUAAUACAUGCAAGUCGAGCGAACAGACGAGGAGCUUGCUCCUCUGACGUUAGCGGCGGACGGGUGAGUAACACGUGGAUAACCUACCUAUAAGACUGGGAUAACUUCGGGAAACCGGAGCUAAUACCGGAUAAUAUAUUGAACCGCAUGGUUCAAUAGUGAAAGACGGUUUUGCUGUCACUUAUAGAUGGAUCCGCGCCGCAUUAGCUAGAUGGUAAGGUAACGGCUUACCAAGGCAACGAUGCGUAGCCGACCUGAGAGGGUGAGCGGCCACACUGGAAAUGAGACACGGUCCAGACUCCUACGGGAGGCAGCAGUAGGGAAUCUUCCGCAAGGGGCGAAAGCCUGACGGAGCAACGCCGCGUGAGUGAUGAAGGUCUUCGGAUCGUAAAACUCUGUUAUUAGGGAAGAACAAAUGUGUAAGUAACUAUGCACGUCUGGACGGUACCUAAUCAGAAAGCCACGGCGAACUACGG